AGACCCGAAACCCGGUGAUCUAGCCAUGGGCAGGUUGAAGGUUGGGUAACACUAACUGGAGGACCGAACCGACUAAUGUUGAAAAAUUAGCGGAUGACCUGUGGCUGGGGGUGAAAGGCCAAUCAAACCGGGAGAUAGCUGGUUCUCCCCGAAAGCUAUUUAGGUAGCGCCUCGUGAAUUCAUCUCCGGGGGUAGAGCACUGUUUCGGCUAGGGGGCCAUCCCGGCUUACCAACCCGAUGCAAACUGCGAAUACCGGAGAAUGUUAUCACGGGAGACACACGGCGGGUGCUAACGUCCGUCGUGAAGAGGGAAACAACCCAGACCGCCAGCUAAGGUCCCAAAGUCAUGGUUAAGUGGGAAACGAUGUGGGAAGGCCCAGACAGCCAGGAUGUUGGCUUAGAAGCAGCCAUCAUUUAAAGAAAGCGUAAUAGCUCACUGGUCGAGUCGGCCUGCGCGGAAGAUGUAACGGGGCUAAACCAUGCACCGAAGCUGCGGCAGCGAACGUAUCACCCAAGACAACUUUACGGAGUUGACGAUUGACGGAGCGAAGCGACGUCAAAGCGUUCAUUAAAGUCGAGUUGGCUUAGGGAUACGUUCGUUGGGUAGGGGAGCGUUCUGUAAGCCUGUGAAGGUGUGUCGUGAGGCAUGCUGGAGGUAUCAGAAGUGCGAAUGCUGACAUAAGUAACGAUAAAGCGGGUGAAAAGCCCG
Molecule: ribosomal RNA, 709 nt
Filed under: Salmonella enterica
Lineage: Bacteria; Pseudomonadati; Pseudomonadota; Gammaproteobacteria; Enterobacterales; Enterobacteriaceae
Also listed under: 1 other name
Description: bacterial LSU rRNA
Rfam family: Bacterial large subunit ribosomal RNA
Source: RNAcentral